UUUCACAGUCUGAAUUAGUUCAUACUUACACAUGCAUGGCUUAAUCUUUGAGACAAGCAUAUGACUACUGGCAGGAUCAACCAGGUAGCAUUCCUUUUUGCCGAAGGCACGGUAUGAGCAACAGGAUGAAUAUCAUCCUGAUGUCAACUCCAUGCACAACAGGCUUUUAUAAGGGACAAUUAAUUCGGACUAAUAGGGACCAAAGACCCCAACCGAUCAUGUUUCUGCAUACAAGAUUUCUAGCGACACAUGGGCGUCCGAUGCCUACAUGACCAAACGGAAACGUAGGGGCGGACGACCAGGUUAGUUUCGUUGUCUAUCUCGCACAAAUUAAGGAGCACGAGACAAAAAGGGACCGUGGGACUAUGAAAUUCCGUCAAAAUAGGUAUGUCACACAGGGGGCCUAGCCAACCAAAGGCAAAAUUUUAAGCUUUCGGACAGAACUGAACGUGUAUGAACAAGCGGUUGUCGCUGCCGAGGCAGGGAUCCAACCAACCGGGACAUACCAAUCACC
Molecule: unclassified non-coding RNA, 514 nt
Filed under: Pternopetalum tanakae
Lineage: Eukaryota; Viridiplantae; Streptophyta; Magnoliopsida; Apiales; Apiaceae
Description: partial external transcribed spacer
Source: RNAcentral